Molecule: long non-coding RNA, 1374 nt
Organism: Pelmatolapia mariae (spotted tilapia)
Lineage: Eukaryota; Metazoa; Chordata; Actinopteri; Cichliformes; Cichlidae
Exons: 3
Source: RefSeq, a predicted model, not a curated record
GGUUCUAGUGAGCAUCGGCUUUCUGUUCAUUUCGUUUGUCAGCCAUGGACAAAACUGUGCUGCUCCUGUUGUACCUGCAGGUUGUUCUGCUCAUCACUGCCUUUCCUUCGGACGCAGCUGGUCAAGUCGUAGUGAAAGGUCCAGAUCAGGUAAAAAGAUCCGCAACCGCAAUCAAACAGGUGGCAAACAGGAUGGUCAACCCAUCAAAGCAAAAACAGAAGAGAAGCUCCAUUUGUUCCAAAAGACCUGGAACAUGCAGCUUAAUGGGCCAGUAGUUUACCCAUCACACAUUGCUCCAGCCAGAAACUCCUUCCUGCAUUUUUCCAUUGACCUGGCUGCUUCAAUAAUCUACGCAUAUAAACUAUCACAACAACAGAUUCUCUGCAAACAUGUUGCAACACUGCAGUUGGUACAGCAGUCACCUCGCAUACAUCAUCAAAAUAGACAGAUGCUAAAUUUGAACCAGCUCACUGGACUUCUCUGAGAAGUCUGAAAUUAAACACAAAUAACAUUCAACCACUAAAACUAAUUUUGGAAGUAAAUAUAAGAUGAAGUAUUAGGGCCACAUUAAGAAAAUAAAAUAUUUUGAUAAAUUUGAGAGUGAAGUCAAAAUUUCAAGAUUAAAAUCAAAAAUCUAUUUUGAGAAAAGCAUCAAAAUGUGGAGAUUACUUUUGUUGUUUCAAGACAAACUGCCACGUUUCUUAUACCCUCUACAAAAUGCCUUGUGUAGAUGAGUUAGCCAUUUCACAUUACACGAAUACAGCUUUCUGCACCAUCUUUUCAACAUCCUUUUACAUAUCACCAUAAUGUUUUCCUUCUUUGUUACUUAAGUCGAUUCUGAAGUACGAUUUCACUCAGAGGGUACAGCAACCAUGGCAGAUUGUCUUGAAACAAAAUAGAAUUACAAUAUUAUUCUCAAAAUGAUGAAUAAUAUUGUUUUUCUCAAUGCGGCCCUAAUACUACGUCGUAUAAAUAACCUCGGCAUCUUAAUUUUAAAAAAAAUCCUAAAGCACUUAGCUGUUUUAAGAUAUUUUUUUUGUAAAACUAUGAAUUUGAAAAAUUGUAGAGAACAACAAUAAUUAUUUUGAUAUUACAUAAAUAUAUAAACAUUGCAUGUUGGAGGAUUAACCACAGGAACAUAAAAAGUGGUUUUGGUAAUUACCAGUAUUGUGUAUUUAUGGCAGCUGUGGAUACCUUGUGUGGAACCUUGCACUGGAUAGUAAUAAUAAUUUUGUUAAGUACUGCAUAUGCUGAGUAUGAAUUGGACUAAUAAAAUAUUUAAAGCACUGCACAUGUGUGUGAAUUAGACUGAUAUUCUGAAAAGAAGCUGUGUAGUUAAUUGUAAGAUUAUCCAAUGAUGACAAAUAAAGAGAU